This 3767-nucleotide long non-coding RNA is filed under the name Salmo salar (Atlantic salmon). RNAcentral's name for it is "lncRNA (ENSSSAG00000092238.1)". Lineage: Eukaryota; Metazoa; Chordata; Actinopteri; Salmoniformes; Salmonidae. The record is from RNAcentral.
CACAUGUUUAGCGGAUGUUAUUGCGGGUGUAGCGAAAUGCUUGUGUUUCUAGCUCCGACAGUGGCGUUGUUGCACCUUCUUCACCGCACUGUCUGUGUGGGUGGACCAUUUCAGUUCGACAGUGAUGUGUAUGUCAAGGAGCUUUCCACCUUCCCCAGUCCAGAGUUAGGAAGGACACCUAUAUCUUUGUAGUGACUGGGUGUAUUGACACACAAUUCAAAGUGUAAUGAAAAACGUCACCAUGAUCAAAGGAAGGCUGUAACGCAACAAAAUGUGGAAAAAGCCAAGAGGUGUGAAUAUUUUCUGAAGGGACUGUAAAUAGAUGGAGCACCAAUUCGCUAGCCUGGAUUUUGGAUCAUGCAUGGAGAGAGUGGGUCGUUUGUUGAAGUCAAUAGACUUAAUUUGAAAUGUUCAAAUAUGUAACCAAAGCGUUUGAACAUUUUUUGUUCUCAUCUGUUCAUGCACCAGAUUGGAAUGCAAAGUUUGUUUGCUCAAGGCCAGGAGGGAGACACUACAACUGGCCAACGGUGCCAAGUUUGGGCCGCAGACAUGAAGCUUAGGUUUCUGGCUGUAAUACCAAGGGCCUGAAGUCGAAAGUGUGGCAGAUGCUACCUUGCCAUGGAUGAGGGUCCAGACUCAGGUCACCCGUUACCUGAAAGGGGCCUCCGAUUGUGAAGGCAGGAUGUGGCGGCACACAGGAGAGAGGAAUCUGCUGUAGUGAGAGUCAACAUCAAGUUUUUGACCACCUGUUUCAAAGCCAGCCUCUACCCCCAAGCCACAAUACUGUUCCAACAGUUGAACCCUGGGCUGACUUUUGCAUCAUACCACACACUUACCAUUUAUUUUAAUAUUCUGUACACACUGAAAUUACUUUGUAGUGUACAUUAUCAUAGUAUAUUACCCUCAAACACAAAUGUCCCACUACACCUACACUGAUUUCCCACUAAUGCGGAUUUAUAAGCCUAACCCACUUCUAGGACAAAGAACAAAACUGUUACUGUCAUUCACCAAUGUAAAAAACAUUUCUGGGGUUAACUGAAAUUGACAACAACAAAAAAAUGUAUACAAAUAUACUUCAUCAAAAUUAAUUCAAGUAGUUUCAGUGAUUUGUUCAUUUAAUUUUACCCCAACAUUUUUGAAUAAAUCCAAUUUAAUAUGUUGUUCAAACGUAUCUUUAUUAGGAUAACCAAAAAUAGACUAAAUGUAGUGAUUUAAUUUACUCAAUUGUAAUCAUAUUUCUCUAAACGUAAUUUAAGUUCUUGCAACAACUUGCCAAGUGGCUCCAUUUUUUGAGGAUUGUGGGUAAUUCAAAAAUGUUUUACUUUAUGAUUAUUUACAUUUGAGUCACUUAGCAGACACUGUUAUCCAGAGCAGCUUACAGUUAGUGCAUUUAUCUCAGUCAUAGUAAGUACAUUUUCUUCAAUAAAGUAGUUAUCAGCAGUCAAGUGUGAGUGUUAAUUCAAUAAAAGGCUCGGGGUGGGUGCUGUGGGACUAUUUAAGAUACUCCUUGAAGACGUAGGGUCUCAGAUGUUUUUCGGAAGAUGGGCAGGGACUCUGCUGUCCUAGCGUCAGGGGGAAGCUUGUUCCGCCAUUGGGGUGCCAGGACAGAGAAGAGCUUUGACUGGACUGAGUGGGCGCUGCCCUCCCGUAGAGGUGGGAGGGCCAAGAGACCAGAGGUGUCAGAACGGAGUGCUCGGGUUGGGGUGUAGGGUUGAGCAUAGCCUGGAGGUAGGGAGGGACAGUUCCCCUUGCUGCUCUGUAGGCAGGCACCAUGGUCUUGUAGUGGAUGCGAGCUUCGACUGGAAGCCAGUGGAGUAUGCGGAGGAGUGGGGCGACAUGGGAGAACUUGGGAUGGUUGAACACCAAUCGGGCUGCUGCGUUCUGCAUCAGUUGCAGGGUUUUAAUGGCACAAGUGGGGAGCCCAGCCAACAGCAAGUAGAGAGAUAUGGCUGGAUUAGGACCUGACCCCGCUUCCUGUGUGAGGUAAGGUCACACUCUAUGGAUGUUGUAGAGCGUGAACCUGCAGGAGCGAGUCACUGCUUUGUUUGCAGAGAACGACAGAGUGUUGUCCAGGAUCAAGCCAAAGUCCUUUGCACUCUGGGAGGGGGACACAGUGGAGAUGUCAACCAUGAUGGAGAAGUCUUGGAGCGGGCAGGCCUUCCCUGGGAGGAAGAGCUGCUCCGUCUUGUUGAGGUUGAGCUUGAGGUAGUGGGCCGACAUCCAAGCUGUGAUGUCCGCCAGGCACGCAGAGAUGCGUGUCAGCACCUGGGUGUCAGAAGGGGGUAAAGAGAAAAGUAAUUGAGUGUUGUCCACAUAGCAAUGAUAGGUCGAGACCAUGUGAGGAUAUGACGGAGCCGAGUGACUUGGUCUACAGAGAGAAGAGGAGAGGGCCUAGAACCGAGCCCUGGGGGACACCAGUAGUGAGAGCAGGAGAGGAGGGUCCAAUGUUUUACCGUGUCAAAGGCAGCAGAUAGAUCUAAGAGGAUGAGAACAGAGGAGAGAUAGUCAACUUUGGCAGUUUGGAGAGCCUCCAUGACGCAGAGGAGAACGAUCUCAGGUGAGUGACCCAUCUUGAAGCCUGACUGGUUAGGGUCAAGAAAAUCGUUCUGAGAGAGAAAAUGAGAGAGUUGGUCAUAGACAGCAUGCUCCAGUGCUUUGGAAAGAAAAGAAAGAAGGGAUACCAGUCUAUAGUUUUUGAAGUCAGAGGGGUUGAGUGUUGGUUUCUUGAUGAGGGGAGCGACUCUGGCCAAGUCAGUGGUCAGGGAUUAGUUGAUGAGGGAAGUGAGGAAUAGAAUAAGGUCUCCAGAGAUGGUCUGGAGAAGGGAGGAGAUGGAGUCGAGCGGGUAGGUAGUCGGGCAACCGGACAUGACCCAUAGCAGGAUUUCAUCUGGAAUACAUGUUUGAAGAAAGAAAGUAUUUUUCUAUAUCAGUAUUAAGCAGCUUGUUAUGCCAUGCGGUGUAAUGGAUCAUGAUGAAUGGAUAUCAAAACUGUCAGGUAAAUUGUCGUUUAAUGAUGAGAUGGAUACAUUAGUGUAAAAUUGAGUGUAAAAGGUAACUUUGUAUUUAAUACACUACUUUGAAAGUAAAAAUAUAAAAAUGUUACUGCAGUUUCUGAUAGUUUUUCAUCAUUGUUGCGAUCAUAAAUGUUAUAAAAUACAAAUAUUCUAAGGUAUUUUGAGGCAACACAGGGGAAGCAAUGACCCAAAAUGUCAAUACAGGUGAAUGCAUUUUCACCAUUGACCUAUAGGGGGUGAUGAAAUUGACCUUUAUCAAGUUUUGUUCAGCGUGAAAAAUUAUACAAGUGUGCCAAUUUCCACGCUUCUAUACUAAAUCGAACAAUAUGGUAUUUCUUUGGGGAGCUUAUCUACUGUACUAUAACAUCAUUGUCCUCUCAUAGUAUGUUCUAGUUCCUUUUGCAUCCCUUUGAUAUGUUAAGUAGAAAUUGUGCACCCAUAUUGAUUUUUUAAAACCUGUUAUAUUCAAUGCAGUGCCCUUUAAUAUAGACUACAUGGAGAAUUCAAUAAAUCAGAUUUCUAAUAUGAAUAAUGACUUGCUAAACUGCCAAAAUUCAGAAUUUUGACAUGUCCCUCUUUGCACCCUCUGUGACAUCCAGGAAGAUUUUAACCCACUUAACCUCAAAAUGUCUCCAAGUUGUCACCAUCAAUGUAAGUCCUAGUUAUGCUGUUUCUUUGACAAAGUCAUUUCUGAAGAUUAUUAUUGAUUCAUGUGAUUAAUUUGAAGAUAAAAAAAGAAUAAUAAUAAACCUG